AUUCCAUUAUGUUUUCAAAUAAUUCAAAAUUACUUAAUGGCGGCCUAUACACACAGACAACAAUAAAUUGCUCUAAUUCAACUGCACUUAGUUCUAUAGUCCGUUCAACAGACAUGGAUACAAUGUCCUUACCAGGCGCUACACUAUUUAAUAUAAUUAAUGACCCACCAUGUAUGGAACUAAGUCUGGUGAACGAACUUCCCGCCUGAUGAUUAUUAAAUUGGGGCAUUAAUUCAUUAUUAUGUAACCAAUGUUCAGUAAGACAUAAAAUAUCAAUAUUAAAAUCAUUCAAAAAAAGUUCAAUCUGCAAAUUUUUUCCUCUAAUACAUUGAAUAUUUUGAUGCACCAGGUGGAUAUACUUUCCAUAUUUGCAGUAUUUUUCAUUAUAUUUAUUUAAAACUAAAUUGC
Molecule: long non-coding RNA, 408 nt
Organism: Cydia fagiglandana
Lineage: Eukaryota; Metazoa; Arthropoda; Insecta; Lepidoptera; Tortricidae
Exons: 2
Source: RefSeq, a predicted model, not a curated record